AAAGCGAGAAAGUGGAAGUAGAGAGAGAGUCAUGUUAGGCCGCUGGUGUUCAACGAAAAUCUGAAAGAUCUGAUCACAAAAUGGUUUUGAAUUUCGGGUUUGUAUGGGAAGCAUUACGCAUACCAUGGUGGAGAGCAAACAAUAAAUCAUACCACAAUGAUUUCUCCUCUCAUGGUUUUCAUAUCCGAGAUCCAGACUCUCUGAUCGCCUUUCAUCUAUCAAGGAAUUUAUGUAUUGAUCCUAAGAAUAAAGCAUUUAGGUCCCCCUGAGUUACAGGCAAAUCUACAUGAAAAAAUCACACGAUGGUCGAGUAGUUGCCAUUAAAUACGGGAAGGGGCAGAGGCGGCUCGUGAAGAGAUGGUCAGGUAGUUGCGCCAUGGAGUGUUAUUCCAGAACACGACUGCAAGAUAUCUUGCCAACUUAUCCUCUAAUUCAUUCAAGAUAUCUUGGUCAACGUCAUAUCGAGCUUGAAAGCAAAUGUCUCUAUCAUUUCAGUGAGACAUAUAGAACACCAUCUAGUAGAACCCAAGACUUUCGUGGAAAAGCAGCAAAGAGGCCAGUGUGAGAUGCCCACUAAAUUGUAAAAGCACAAUGAUAACGCAGAGGAGCAAUAAAAUCGGAUGUUAUAUUGUAAAUCAAUAUCUUCUAAAGGAAAAUUUGCAUGCUAAUUAGGAAAUGGCUUGUUGAAAAUUUCACUCA
Papaver somniferum (opium poppy) is the source of this 699-nucleotide long non-coding RNA. RefSeq lists it as uncharacterized. The transcript has 3 exons. Lineage: Eukaryota; Viridiplantae; Streptophyta; Magnoliopsida; Ranunculales; Papaveraceae. The record is from RefSeq and is a predicted model, not a curated record.